Molecule: ribosomal RNA, 457 nt
Filed under: uncultured Bacteroidota bacterium
Lineage: Bacteria; Pseudomonadati; Bacteroidota
Description: bacterial SSU rRNA
Rfam family: Bacterial small subunit ribosomal RNA
Source: RNAcentral
AUCUGGGACGAAACCCUCAUAUUCUUAUGAGACUGACGGUACCAGAGGAAUAAGCACCGGCUAACUCCGUGCCAGCAGCCGCGGUAAUACGGAGGGUGCAAGCGUUAUCCGGAUUCACUGGGUUUAAAGGGUGCGUAGGAGGGCAGGUAAGUCAGUGGUGAAAUCUCCAAGCUUAACUUGGAAACUGCCGUUGAUACUAUCUGUCUUGAAUAUUGUGGAGGUGAGCGGAAUAUGUCAUGUAGCGGUGAAAUGCUUAGAUAUGACAUAGAACACCAAUUGCGAAGGCAGCUCACUACACAAUCAUUGACUCUGAGGCACGAAAGCGUGGGGAUCAAACAGGAUUAGAUACCCUGGUAGUCCACGCCCUAAACUAUGGAUACUCGACAUACGCGAUAUACAGUGUGUGUCUGAGCGAAAGCAUUAAGUAUCCCACCUGGGAAGUACGACCGCAAGGUUG